This 88-nucleotide transfer RNA is filed under the name Deltaproteobacteria bacterium. Its description in RNAcentral is "tRNA-Ser". It matches the Rfam family "tRNA". Rfam says of the family: Transfer RNA (tRNA) molecules are approximately 80 nucleotides in length. Their secondary structure includes four short double-helical elements and three loops (D, anti-codon, and T loops). Lineage: Bacteria; Pseudomonadati; Myxococcota; Myxococcia. The record is from RNAcentral. RNAcentral also lists the same sequence under 2 other names.
GGAGGAGUGGCCGAGAGGCUGAAGGCGGCGGUCUUGAAAACCGCUGGCCCGCAAGGGCUCGCAGGUUCGAAUCCUGCCUCCUCCGCCA